RNAcentral lists this unclassified non-coding RNA (261 nucleotides) under Hevea brasiliensis (rubber tree). The record is from RNAcentral. Lineage: Eukaryota; Viridiplantae; Streptophyta; Magnoliopsida; Malpighiales; Euphorbiaceae.
GGUGAGUGAAGAGCGAAAAGAUUUGCAGGAAUCAGUUAUUGCAGUAAUCGAAAGAGACCGAAAGAGGCAGGAUUGAUUGAAGAAACAAUGGCAGAGAUGGUGCGAUUAAGAGAGCCAGAGAGGUGGCACAAAAUGGGAUGGUUUUAGGGUUAGAUUUAGUUAUGCAAUAGAAAACAUAACAUUUUAUAUUAAAAGCUAAAACACUGUGUUUAUCCUUUUAAUAAAAAUGUUUUUAAUAUUAUAUUGAUAAUUUGGUUCAGG